GAUGAAGAACGUAGUGAAAUGCGAUACGUAAUGUGAAUUGCAGAAUUCAGUGAAUCAUCGAAUCGUUGAACGCACAUUGCGCCCCUUGGUAUUCCGAGGGGCAUGCCUGUUCGAGCGUCAUUAUAACCCCUCAAGCUCAGCUUGGUGUUGGGGCCUGCUGCACUGGCAGCCCUUAAAAUCAGUGGCGGCGCCAUCUGGCUCUAAGCGUAGUAAUUCUUCUCGCUAUGGAGUCCUGGUGGAUGCUUGCCAUCAACCCCCAAUUUUUCUAUGGUUGACCUCGGAUCAGGUAGGGAUACCCGCUGAACUUAAGCAUAUCAAUAAGCGGAGGA
Molecule: unclassified non-coding RNA, 329 nt
Filed under: soil metagenome
Description: partial contains 5.8S ribosomal RNA, internal transcribed spacer 2, and large subunit ribosomal RNA
Rfam family: 5.8S ribosomal RNA (bases 1-120)
Source: RNAcentral